CCUCUGGCAGAGAGCUUACUCUGACUAAUGUGUUGUACGUGCCAGAGAUUCGCAAGAAUCUGAUCUCUGGGUCUCUUCUGAGCAAGAAUGGUUUCCGCAUGGUCAUUGAAGCGGAUAAGCUGGUGAUUACCAAAAUAGGAGUUUAUGUUGGGAAAGGCUAUAUGACUGAUGGCCUGUUUAAAUUGAAUGUAAUUGCUGUAACCCCAACUGUUAUGAAUAAUGAGAAAAC
This 229-nucleotide long non-coding RNA is filed under the name Olea europaea (common olive). Its description in RNAcentral is "long non-coding RNA (OEUR_LNC010484)". Lineage: Eukaryota; Viridiplantae; Streptophyta; Magnoliopsida; Lamiales; Oleaceae. The record is from RNAcentral.